GCGGACGUGGCCGAGUGGUUAAGGCGCUGUGUUUAGGUUUGUUCGUAAUGAACCAUAAACGAUCCGCAGUGGGAAACCGCGCAGGUUCGAACCCUGCCGUCCGCA
Molecule: non-coding RNA, 105 nt
Organism: Thelonectria olida
Lineage: Eukaryota; Fungi; Ascomycota; Sordariomycetes; Hypocreales; Nectriaceae
Source: the annotation of a GenBank genome assembly